This 385-nucleotide ribosomal RNA is filed under the name marine copepod environmental sample. RNAcentral's name for it is "SSU rRNA". It matches the Rfam family "Eukaryotic small subunit ribosomal RNA", at positions 587 to 972 of the family's 1831-position model. Lineage: Eukaryota; Metazoa; Arthropoda; Copepoda. The record is from RNAcentral.
AGCUCCAAUAGCGUAUAUUAAAGUUGUUGUGGUUAAAAAGCUCGUAGUUGGAUCUCGGCGGUCUGAGGUCGGUUCGCUUUAUUGAGUGCUACUGCUCUAUCUUCCGUUUUUUUGCCAGAGGGCUCGGUGUGCUCUUAACCGAGUGUCCUGCGAUGCUGGCAGGUUUACUUUGAAAAAAUUAGAGUGAUCAAAGCAGGCUUUUACGCCUGAAUAUUCGUGCAUGGAAUAAUAGAAUAGGAAGUCGUUUAUAUUUUGUUGGUUUUCGGAAAUCAACGUAAUGAUUAAUAGGGACAGUCGGGGGCAUUUGUAUUCAAACGACAGAGGUGAAAUUCUUGGACAGUUUGAAGACAAACUGCUGCGAAAGCAUUUGCCAAGAAUGUUUUCA